UACAGAGGUCUCAAGCGUUGUUCGGAUUCAUUGGGCGUAAAGGGUGCGUAGGCGGCGCGGUAAGUCGGGUGUGAAAUUUCGAGGCUUAACUUCGAAGCUGCAUUCGAUACUGCCGUGCUCGAGGACUGGAGAGGAGACUGGAAUUUACGGUGUAGCGGUGAAAUGCGUAGAUAUCGUAAGGAAGACCAGUGGCGAAGGCGGGUCUCUGGACAGUUCCUGACGCUGAGGCACGAAGGCCAGGGGAGCAAACGGG
RNAcentral lists this ribosomal RNA (253 nucleotides) under uncultured bacterium. Its description in RNAcentral is "partial 16S ribosomal RNA". It matches the Rfam family "Bacterial small subunit ribosomal RNA", at positions 524 to 776 of the family's 1533-position model. The record is from RNAcentral.